This 554-nucleotide unclassified non-coding RNA is filed under the name Bombus terrestris (buff-tailed bumblebee). RNAcentral describes it as "misc RNA ENSBTSG00005038045.1". The record is from RNAcentral. Lineage: Eukaryota; Metazoa; Arthropoda; Insecta; Hymenoptera; Apidae.
GUAUACUAUAACUGAAAACAACCAAAAUUAAAGUAAAUAUUCUAUCAGCACUUUCAACAUCACAUUAAACAAAAGAAAGAAAUAUAAUCUACUAUAACACUGUACUACACUACAACAAUGAAACAAGGAACUUGAAUGCAACAAGGAAUACUAAAGAUUAAUUACGAAUGUACAAUGAUUCAAUAAUCUAAGGAUCUAAGAACUACACUAACGCGUGUAAUCGCAAAUCAGAAAGCUGCUUCCAUUCCACGUGUCGCAAUUAAAGCAAAAUCUUUGGUGGCGGUGGCGAGAAGACUUGAAGUGUUGUUAAGAGAAGCCGGAGGGCCACGGCGAGAAAGGUCCGCCAUUCUCGACACCUGGCAACAGCCAAUGGUAGGAUAAAGCGGACAGGAGAGAGCUUUUGGUCCUCGAACGCCACACCCUUCAUUGUGACCACAUAUCGACCGUCUCUCACAGCUUGGGGCUGCGUUCCCCGUACUAAUUAUGGAUAUGUCAAGGAGAUUUCAAGAAGAUUUCUCUUUGUCAUCUGUUUUUUAGAAGCGACACAUAAAUUU